UACGAAGGGGGCUAGCGUUGCUCGGAAUCACUGGGCGUAAAGGGCGUGUAGGCGGGAAGGAUAGUCAGAUGUGAAAGCCCUGGGCUCAACCCAGGAACUGCAUUUGAAACUCCCUUUCUUGAGUGUCGGAGAGGAAAGCGGAAUUCCUGGUGUAGAGGUGAAAUUCGUAGAUAUCAGGAGGAACACCGGUGGCGAAGGCGGCUUUCUGGACGACAACUGACGCUGAGACGCGAAAGCGUGGGGAGCAAACAGG
RNAcentral lists this ribosomal RNA (253 nucleotides) under uncultured bacterium. RNAcentral describes it as "partial 16S ribosomal RNA". It matches the Rfam family "Bacterial small subunit ribosomal RNA", at positions 524 to 776 of the family's 1533-position model. The record is from RNAcentral.